CUUCGGGGUACUCGAGCGGCGAACGGGUGAGUAACACGUGAGCAACCUGCCCCAGGCUUUGGGAUAACCCCGGGAAACCGGGGCUAAUACCGAAUAUGACCUUGCACCGCAUGGUGUUUGGUGGAAAGUUUUUCGGCUUGGGAUGGGCUCGCGGCCUAUCAGCUUGUUGGUGGGGUGAUGGCCUACCAAGGCGACGACGGGUAGCCGGCCUGAGAGGGCGACCGGCCACACUGGGACUGAGACACGGCCCAGACUCCUACGGGAGGCAGCAGUGGGGAAUAUUGCACAAUGGGCGGAAGCCUGAUGCAGCGACGCCGCGUGAGGGAUGACGGCCUUCGGGUUGUAAACCUCUUUCAGCAGGGACGAAGCGUAAGUGACGGUACCUGCAGAAGAAGCGCCGGCCAACUACGUGCCAGCAGCCGCGGUAAGACGUAGGGCGCGAGCGUUGUCCGGAUUUAUUGGGCGUAAAGAGCUCGUAGGCGGCUUGUCGCGUCGACUGUGAAAACCCGCAGCUCAACUGCGGGCCUGCAGUCGAUACGGGCAGGCUAGAGUUCGGUAGGGGAGACUGGAAUUCCUGGUGUAGCGGUGAAAUGCGCAGAUAUCAGGAGGAACACCGGUGGCGAAGGCGGGUCUCUGGGCCGAUACUGACGCUGAGGAGCGAAAGCGUGGGGAGCGAACAGGAUUAGAUACCCUGGUAGUCCACGCUGUAAACGUUGGGCGCUAGGUGUGGGGGGCCUCUCCGGUUCCCUGUGCCGCAGCUAACGCAUUAAGCGCCCCGCCUGGGGA
This 786-nucleotide ribosomal RNA is filed under the name Micromonospora sp. 3220-1. RNAcentral's name for it is "bacterial SSU rRNA". It matches the Rfam family "Bacterial small subunit ribosomal RNA", at positions 78 to 879 of the family's 1533-position model. Lineage: Bacteria; Bacillati; Actinomycetota; Actinomycetes; Micromonosporales; Micromonosporaceae. The record is from RNAcentral.